AACGAACGCUGGCGGCAGGCCUAACACAUGCAAGUCGAGCGAGGACUUCGGUCCUAGUGGCGGACGGGUGAGUAACGCGUGGGAACGUGCCCUUUGCUUCGGAAUAGCCCUGGGAAACUGGGAGUAAUACCGGAUGAGCCCUUUGGGGGAAAGAUUUAUCGGCGAAGGAUCGGCCCGCGUUGGAUUAGGUAGUUGGUGGGGUAAUGGCCUACCAAGCCGACGAUCCAUAGCUGGUUUGAGAGGAUGAUCAGCCACACUGGGACUGAGACACGGCCCAGACUCCUACGGGAGGCAGCAGUGGGGAAUCUUAGACAAUGGGGGAAACCCUGAUCUAGCCAUGCCGCGUGAGCGAUGAAGGCCUUAGGGUUGUAAAGCUCUUUCAGCUGGGAAGAUAAUGACGGUACCAGCAGAAGAAGCCCCGGCUAACUCCGUG
RNAcentral lists this ribosomal RNA (433 nucleotides) under uncultured bacterium. RNAcentral describes it as "partial 16S ribosomal RNA". It matches the Rfam family "Bacterial small subunit ribosomal RNA", at positions 29 to 507 of the family's 1533-position model. The record is from RNAcentral.